This 484-nucleotide ribosomal RNA is filed under the name uncultured bacterium. RNAcentral's name for it is "partial 16S ribosomal RNA". It matches the Rfam family "Bacterial small subunit ribosomal RNA", at positions 30 to 507 of the family's 1533-position model. The record is from RNAcentral.
AUUGAACGCUGGCGGCAGGCCUAACACAUGCAAGUCGAGCGGAUGAAGGGAGCUUGCUCCUGGAUUCAGCGGCGGACGGGUGAGUAAUGCCUAGGAAUCUGCCUGGUAGUGGGGGAUAACGUCCGGAAACGGGCGCUAAUACCGCAUACGUCCUGAGGGAGAAAGUGGGGGAUCUUCGGACCUCACGCUAUCAGAUGAGCCUAGGUCGGAUUAGCUAGUUGGUGGGGUAAAGGCCUACCAAGGCGACGAUCCGUAACUGGUCUGAGAGGAUGAUCAGUCACACUGGAACUGAGACACGGUCCAGACUCCUACGGGAGGCAGCAGUGGGGAAUAUUGGACAAUGGGCGAAAGCCUGAUCCAGCAAUGCCGCGUGUGUGAAGAAGGUCUUCGGAUUGUAAAGCACUUUAAGUUGGGAGGAAGGGCAGUAAGUUAAUACCUUGCUGUUUUGACGUUACCGAAAGAAUAAGCACCGGCUAACUUCGUG